This 1067-nucleotide long non-coding RNA is filed under the name Eucalyptus grandis. Its description in RNAcentral is "long non-coding RNA (EGRA_LNC002356)". The record is from RNAcentral. Lineage: Eukaryota; Viridiplantae; Streptophyta; Magnoliopsida; Myrtales; Myrtaceae.
GAAAUUUUAGCUUAUGAUUUCUACUUCAAAUAUAUUUUUGGAAUAAAAAUAUAUUAUAGAAAUAGAAAAAUGAAAUUGCGUUACUAAAUAGAAUUCUAUUCAAACCUAUUCUAGGGAAUAGAAAAAUAAAGAAAUAAAAAAAUAGAAAUUUUGUCAUGUGUAUCCUUGGACAUUUACGUUGCUCCAAAAUAUAAGUUUUGUACACUUGGCAAUGGUCAUGUCCUGAAAUUUGAUUUGAUUCCAAUAUGAGAUUAGCAAUCUUGGGAUUAUAUUUAUAACGUAGAGGUGCAUAUCUUCGAGUUACGACUAUAAAAGUUAACAUGGAGUAUUCAAGUGGAGAAACGUCUAGAGUAUUGAAAGAUUAAAUGAUCAGAUGAGAAUUUGCAUCACACUUCAUUAACUCUUCCUUUUCCUCCCACUGCCCACAAUAAAUAUCAGUAUAGCUCCAUCGCCAUCAAUAUCAUUAUUCCCCCCAUUACAGUUUUUGAUAAACAUAGCAUCAGUUCAUCAAUUAGUUUAUUAUAAUAAAAGUUCCAUCUCAAUCAGACUGGAAAUUUUAACAUCUAUGAUUAAGUGUUAAAGGAAAAUUGAGGAAACAAGGAUCUUUGCAAGCAGCUACCUCACCUUUUCUACUUGUUUAUUUUUGUUAAAAUAUUUAAAUAAUAAAUCACAUAUUCAUUAAACAACUAAAGCUUUUAACACAGUUAGUAAUGAUUUCACAAAAUCUUACAUGAUGUUAGAACUAAGAAUCUUGAGUUCAAAUUUUUUCAUGCCUCAUUUGCCUCAUCAAUUAAAUGUUUCCACGUUUAGUAUUAAGCAAAAAAAAAAAAAAAAACUUUAGUGCGAGGGGUUCGUUUUUCUCCGAAGGAAAAAGCAAGAAAAUGCAAACCCGCGAAAUUUAAUUGGGCCCUUUUCAGUCAAGAAUGGCCAAUGAGAUAAUGUUCGGGACUCGCACUUGGGCCCAAAUUGCCAUUUUCAGAUUCACAGUCCAGAGGCAGGUUCUUUUCGACAUUUGGUAAUGGAAUUUUCCGUCCCCUAUCAAGGAAUUCAUUCUUUUCCAGUCCCCC